GACAUUAACAAAAUUUAAGAUUUAUUGAUAUAAUUUGCCCUCUCAAUGACAAGUCCUACAGCCAAUCAACUUACCAUCAAUCGCAAAAUCAAUAUCAUUUUCUAAAUACCUGUCUGAGUACAAGAACCCAAAAACAAUUCGAGUCGCUAGAUGUUGUGACACCUACGGGAGAGGACUCUUGCAUGCCUCGUGAAAGUAGAGGGCAUGGUAGCAGCAUCACUAUCUUAUCUAUCGGUGUAACCAUGUGCUCGUGCAAGAAAGCUCUAGCUUGAUAAUCCAAUCACUCCCGACCCAACAAACAAAUUGCUGAAGGUAAACAAUUCAUAAACACAUAUGUCAAUGGUACACCUAAACCCAGACCAUUUGGUAGAGUGUCCCCAUUUGAAGCACUGUCUUUCUAGCAAACCUGACACAGAAAAAAAAAUGGGCACAAGUUCUCCCAGCAAGCUUUGGUCAAAUGAGAAGUCACCCUCAGCUUUGGUGCUAAAGAAAAC
This 494-nucleotide long non-coding RNA is filed under the name Carica papaya (papaya). RNAcentral's name for it is "long non-coding RNA (CPAP_LNC013916)". The record is from RNAcentral. Lineage: Eukaryota; Viridiplantae; Streptophyta; Magnoliopsida; Brassicales; Caricaceae.